Molecule: transfer RNA, 90 nt
Filed under: Methanothermococcus okinawensis
Lineage: Archaea; Methanobacteriati; Methanobacteriota; Methanococci; Methanococcales; Methanococcaceae
Also listed under: 1 other name
Description: tRNA-Ser
Rfam family: tRNA
About the family: Transfer RNA (tRNA) molecules are approximately 80 nucleotides in length. Their secondary structure includes four short double-helical elements and three loops (D, anti-codon, and T loops).
Source: RNAcentral
GCGGAGGUGGCCCAGCCUGGUACGGCGCGGGACUGCUAAUCCCGUUGGGCGUUAUGCCCAUCCCGAGUUCAAAUCUCGGCCUCCGCGCCA